RNAcentral lists this ribosomal RNA (265 nucleotides) under uncultured bacterium. RNAcentral's name for it is "partial 16S ribosomal RNA". It matches the Rfam family "Bacterial small subunit ribosomal RNA", at positions 94 to 354 of the family's 1533-position model. The record is from RNAcentral.
CCGGGCGCACGGGUGAGUAACACGUAUGGAACCUGCCCUAUGCAGGGGGAUAAGCGGAAGAAAUUCCGUCUAAUACCGCAUAACACCUUUAGGAGACAUCUUCUUGGGGGUCAAAGGAGGCGACUCCGGCAUAGGAUGGCCAUGCGUCGCAUUAGCUAGUCGGCGGGGUAACGGCCCACCGAGGCGACGAUGCGUAGGGGUUCUGAGAGGAAGGUCCCCCACACUGGUACUGAGACACGGACCAGACUCCUACGGGAGGCAGCAG